GGGUGAGUAACGCGUGAGGAACCUGCCUCAAAGAGGGGGACAACAGUUGGAAACGACUGCUAAUACCGCAUAAGCCCACAGGUCGGCAUCGACCAGAGGGAAAAGGAGCAAUCCGCUUUGAGAUGGCCUCGCGUCCGAUUAGCUAGUUGGUGAGGUAAUGGCCCACCAAGGCGACGAUCGGUAGCCGGACUGAGAGGUUGAACGGCCACAUUGGGACUGAGACACGGCCCAGACUCCUACGGGAGGCAGCAGUGGGGAAUAUUGCACAAUGGGGGAAACCCUGAUGCAGCGACGCCGCGUGGAGGAAGAAGGUCUUCGGAUUGUAAACUCCUGUUGUUGAGGAAGAUAAUGACGGUACUCAACAAGGAAGUGACGGCUAACUACGUACCAGCAGCCGCGGUAAAACGUAGGUCACAAGCGUUGUCCGGAAUUACUGGGUGUAAAGGGAGCGCAGGCGGGAAGACAAGUUGGAAGUGAAAUCUAUGGGCUCAACCCAUAAACUGCUUUCAAAACUGUUUUUCUUGAGUAGUGCAGAGGUAGGCGGAAUUCCCGGUGUAGCGGUGGAAUGCGUAGAUAUCGGGAGGAACACCAGUGGCGAAGGCGGCCUACUGGGCACCAACUGACGCUGAGGCUCGAAAGUGUGGGUAGCAAACAGGAUUAGAUACCCUGGUAGUCCACACCGUAAACGAUGAUUACUAGGUGUUGGAGGAUUGACCCCUUCAGUGCCGCAGUUAACACAAUAAGUAAUCCACCUGGGGAGUA
This 762-nucleotide ribosomal RNA is filed under the name uncultured bacterium. RNAcentral's name for it is "bacterial SSU rRNA". It matches the Rfam family "Bacterial small subunit ribosomal RNA", at positions 104 to 882 of the family's 1533-position model. The record is from RNAcentral.